This 511-nucleotide long non-coding RNA is filed under the name Nicotiana benthamiana. RNAcentral's name for it is "long non-coding RNA (NBEN_LNC017166)". Lineage: Eukaryota; Viridiplantae; Streptophyta; Magnoliopsida; Solanales; Solanaceae. The record is from RNAcentral.
UUCACAGUCCUUACACUGGCUUCGACAAUGUGGUUAUUGGUAACGGUGAAGGUUUGAUAAUUACUCAUACUGGACAACUUAACAGUCAUUCCUCUUUUUUAUUACCUGGGGCUCUAUACUGGUUUCAACAAUGUGGUUAUUGGUAACGGUGAAGGUUUGCAAUUACACAUACUGGACAACUUAACAGUUAUUCCUCUCUUUUAUUACGUGGGGCUCUCUCUGUUCCACAUAUGCGUAAAAAUUUGAUCUCGGUUGCCCAAUUAUAUCGUCACAAUAAUGUUAAUGUUGUUCUUUCUGAUACUGAUUUUCAGGUGAAGGAUCGUCGCACGUGGGCAACACUCGUUCGCAGCCCACUUAGGGGCAACACCUACUACUGGCCGGCAGCUUCCAGUCUCCCAUCUGCCCUCACGGCACAAAAGCUCUCUGCAUCAUUGUGGCAUUCUCGGUGUGGUCAUCCGUCAGCUAAAACCCUGCGUCAUUUAGUGUCGUCUAGCAGUAUAGCGUCCAGUAA